Molecule: ribosomal RNA, 759 nt
Filed under: uncultured bacterium
Lineage: Bacteria
Description: bacterial SSU rRNA
Rfam family: Bacterial small subunit ribosomal RNA
Source: RNAcentral
ACACAUGCAGUCGAGCGGGGUUUUCGGACUUAGCGGCGGACGGGUGAGUAAUGCGUAGGAAGCUGCCCGAUAGAGGGGGAUACCAGUUGGAAACGACUGUUAAUACCGCAUAAUGUCUACGGACCAAAGUGUGGGACCUUCGGGCCACAUGCUAUCGGAUGCGCCUACGUGGGAUUAGCUAGUUGGUGAGGUAAUGGCUCACCAAGGCGGCGAUCUCUAGCUGGUUUGAGAGGAUGAUCAGCCACACUGGAACUGAGACACGGUCCAGACUCCUACGGGAGGCAGCAGUGGGGAAUAUUGGACAAUGGGCGCAAGCCUGAUCCAGCCAUGCCGCGUGUGUGAAGAAGGCCUUCGGGUUGUAAAGCACUUUCAGCGAGGAGGAAGGGAUGUAUGUUAAUAGCAUGCAUUUUUGACGUUACUCGCAGAAGAAGCACCGGCUAACUCUGUGCCAGCAGCCGCGGUAAUACAGAGGGUGCAAGCGUUAAUCGGAAUUACUGGGCGUAAAGCGCACGUAGGCGGCUAGUUAAGUUGGAUGUGAAAGCCCCGGGCUCAACCUGGGAAUUGCAUUCAAAACUGGCUAACUAGAGUAUGUGAGAGGGGGGUAGAAUUCCAGGUGUAGCGGUGAAAUGCGUAGAGAUCUGGAGGAAUACCGAUGGCGAACGCAGCCAUCUGGCCUAAUACUGACACUGAGGUGCGAAAGCAUGGGGAGCAAACAGGAUUAGAUACCCUGGUAGUCCAUGCCGUAAACGAUGUCUACUA